This 303-nucleotide ribosomal RNA is filed under the name uncultured bacterium. RNAcentral describes it as "partial 16S ribosomal RNA". It matches the Rfam family "Bacterial small subunit ribosomal RNA", at positions 507 to 808 of the family's 1533-position model. The record is from RNAcentral.
AGCAGUCGCCGCGGUAAUUCGUAGGUGGCGAGCGUUGUCCGGAAUCAUCGGGCGUAAAGGGAGCGCAGGCGGGCAUGUAAGUCUUUCUUAAAAGUGCGGGGCUCAACCCCGUGAUGGGAAAGAAACUACAUGUCUUGAGUACAGGAGAGGAAAGCGGAAUUCCCAGUGUAGCGGUGAAAUGCGUAGAUAUUGGGAGGAACACCAGUGGCGAAGGCGGCUUUCUGGACUGCAACUGACGCUGAGGCGCGAAAGCCAGGGGAGCGAACGGGAUUAGAUACCCGCGUAGUCCCUGUUUCUUAUACA